This 807-nucleotide ribosomal RNA is filed under the name Cryptosporidium felis. Its description in RNAcentral is "18S ribosomal RNA". It matches the Rfam family "Eukaryotic small subunit ribosomal RNA", at positions 232 to 1049 of the family's 1831-position model. The record is from RNAcentral. Lineage: Eukaryota; Apicomplexa; Conoidasida; Eucoccidiorida; Cryptosporidiidae.
AUUAUUUUUUUUUGGUGACUCAUAAUAACUUUACGGAUCACAAUAAUUUAUUUUGUGACAUAUCAUUCAAGUUUCUGACCUAUCAGCUUUAGACGGUAGGGUAUUGGCCUACCGUGGCUAUGACGGGUAACGGGGAAUUAGGGUUCGAUUCCGGAGAGGGAGCCUGAGAAACGGCUACCACAUCUAAGGAAGGCAGCAGGCGCGCAAAUUACCCAAUCCUAAUACAGGGAGGUAGUGACAAGAAAUAACAAUACAGGACUUUACGGUUUUGUAAUUGGAAUGAGUUAAGUAUAAACCCCUUUACAAGUAUCAAUUGGAGGGCAAGUCUGGUGCCAGCAGCCGCGGUAAUUCCAGCUCCAAUAGCGUAUAUUAAAGUUGUUGCAGUUAAAAAGCUCGUAGUUGGAUUUCUGUUAAUACCUUAUAUAUAAUAUUUUUUUUUUAAAUAUUAAUAUGUAAGAUUAACAUAAUUCAUAUUUUUAAGACUGAAUUUUUAGUUUCGAUAAUAUGAAAUUUUACUUUGAGAAAAUUAGAGUGCUUAAAGCAGGCUUUUGCCUUGAAUACUCCAGCAUGGAAUAAUAAUAAAAGAUUUUUAUCUUUUUUUAUUGGUUCUAAGAUAAAAAUAAUGAUUAAUAGGGACAGUUGGGGGCAUUUGUAUUUAACAGUCAGAGGUGAUAUUCUUAGAUUUGUUAAAGACAAACUAAUGCGAAAGCAUUUGCCAAGGAUGUUUUCAUUAAUCAAGAACGAAAGUUAGGGGAUCGAAGACGAUCAGAUACCGUCGUAGUCUUAACCAUAAACUAUGCCAACUAG